AGUAAAGUGGCGCACGGGUGAGUAACGCGUAAGCAAUCUACCAUGAGGACGGGAAUAACCCCGCGAAAGCGGGGCUAAAACUCGAUGAUNNNNCGGCUCCGCAUGGAGACAGUUGUUAAAGUCUCGGCGCAAGCCGGGAGCCUCAUGAUGAGCCUGCGUCUGAUUAGCUAGUUGGCGGGGUAACGGCCCACCAAGGCGACGAUCAGUAGCUGGUCUGAGAGGAUGAUCAGCCACACUGGAACUGAGACACGGUCCAGACUCCUACGGGAGGCAGCAGUGAGGAAUAUUGCGCAAUGGCCGAAAGGCUGACGCAGCGACGCCGCGUGGAGGAUGAAGUCCGUUUGGAUGUAAACUCCUUUUGCAGGGGAUGAAUGUUCCGCCUCGCGCGGACUUGACCGUACCCUGCGAAUAAGGAUCGGCUAACUACGUGCCAGCAGCCGCGGUAAUACGUAGGAUCCGAGCGUUGUCCGGAAUUACUGGGUGUAAAGGGCGUGUAGGUGGGUCUCUAAGUCGGGGGUGAAAUCCUACAGCUUAACUGUAGAAUUGCUUCCGAAACUGGAGAUCUUGAGUGCGGUAGAGGGAGAUGGAAUUCAUGGUGUAGCGGUGAAAUGUGUAGAUAUCAUGAAGAACACCGGUAGCGAAGGCGGUCUCCUGGCCCGCAACUGACACUGAGGCGCGAAAGCGUGUGGAGCAAACAGGNNNNNNNNCCCUGGUAGUCCACGCCCUAAACGAUGU
Molecule: ribosomal RNA, 735 nt
Filed under: uncultured bacterium
Lineage: Bacteria
Description: bacterial SSU rRNA
Rfam family: Bacterial small subunit ribosomal RNA
Source: RNAcentral